Lolium perenne is the source of this 1151-nucleotide long non-coding RNA. RefSeq lists it as uncharacterized. The record is from RefSeq and is a predicted model, not a curated record. NCBI's taxonomy places the organism in Eukaryota, Viridiplantae, Streptophyta, Magnoliopsida, Poales, Poaceae.
GACGAGAGAACCUCAUCUAGGUUUUGUUUUGGGCCAAACGAAGCGCAUCCUCCAACUUCCCCUCGCCGCCGCCUCAACUCCGGCCGCCGCUCGCCGCCCACCCAUCUCCCUCGAUGCCGGAGGACAUCCCCACCCACCAAAUCCCCUCCAUCCCGCUGUCCAACCCUUGCUCAUCGCCUCCUGGACCCGCCGGCGCCGUCGAGUAGCACCGCCCGAGGCUCAAGCCGUCGCCGUCGAGGAGCACCGCCCGAGGCUCAAGCCGGCGCUGGACCUCCUCCAUGGCGUCCGCGUCUACCUCUCCCUCCUCGGUCAAGUCCCGAUCUCCGUUUCCUGACCUUGAUUUUAUUCCUAUUGCUCAUGCUCUGUCCCGUGCAGAAAUUUUGGAGGGGGUCAUGGCCGGCCUCCCCCAUCUGCUGCUCUGCUGGUGACUGUGUGCUCGCCAGCACGGCCAAGGAGACGCCGACGACCACGCACCAUGAGUCGGCGACCUGGACAUGAUCGUCCAGGAGAACCCGACCACGGCGACGCCCACAGAAUAAGGGGAGAAGUGGAGCUGGAGCUUGUCAGGAGGUAGCGAUGGCUGCCAGAUCCGGCUGGAAGGAUGCGGUGGCCUUCUUUUUCGACUCCGUGGGUUUAGGAAAAUGAGGACUAAAUGAGAGACACGUGUCGCAGCUGGAACCUGUGGCUGCAGGCCAUCACUUGGAAGGAAGCUGGAAGACCCUGGGGACAAGCUUGGGAUAAGUGGAGCUGGCCCAGAGGGUAGCCAUGGCCGGAUCUCCCUUCUUCUUCGAAUCCGUGGAUUUAGCAUGUAAAGAAAGAAGAGCAAGAAGGCUACAAAGAAGGACCUGCCCAGAUCCUUUCACUUUCUGCAUGUAAUCUUCUUGGUGCUGUAGUUGGGAAGCGCGAACCAGGUGUCCCGUCGUGUGUAGUGCCGCUUUUCGGUCCUUGUAAUAUUCGGUAGUACUCGAUGUUGUAAAAUCCAUUUUUUUAAUGCUCCAGGCUUUGGAAGUUGUAACAAUUUGGUAAAUGUGCACGUGUGUGAUGUUUGUUCCUAGCUUGCGUUUCUUUGCGUUAGACUUGUCAGCAAGGUUGGAUCGUGUGGCUGUACGAACAUUUAUUCUACUACUAUAUUGUUUGAUUUGUGGUCUGAA